AGUGAACGCUGGCGGUAUGCCUAACACAUGCAAGUCGAACGGCAGCACAGUAAUAGCUUGCUCUUACGGGUGGCACGUGGCGGACGGGGGCGGUGUACAUCGGACUCUACUUUUUCGUGGGGGAUAACGUCGGGAAACUUACGCUAAUACCGCAUACUACCUACGAGUUAAAGCAGCGGAUCUUCAGACCUUGCGCGAUUGAAUGAGCCGCUGUCGGAUUAGCUAGUUGGCGGGGUAAAGGCACACCAAGGCAGCGAUCCGUAGCUGGUCUGCGAGGAUGCUGAGCCACAUUGGAAAUGAGACACGGUCAAGACGCCUAUGGGAGGCAGCAGAGGGGAAUACUGGACAAUGGGCGGAAGCAUGAUCCAGCAAUACCGAGUGGGUGACGAAGGCCUUCGGGGUGUAAAGAGAUUUUGUUGGGAAAGAAAAGCAGCAGGCUAAGACCACGACGUUAUGACGGUACCCAAAGAAUAAGCACCGGCUAACUUCGUG
This 492-nucleotide ribosomal RNA is filed under the name uncultured bacterium. Its description in RNAcentral is "partial 16S ribosomal RNA". It matches the Rfam family "Bacterial small subunit ribosomal RNA", at positions 29 to 507 of the family's 1533-position model. The record is from RNAcentral.